Macaca mulatta (Rhesus monkey) is the source of this 860-nucleotide long non-coding RNA. RefSeq lists it as uncharacterized. Lineage: Eukaryota; Metazoa; Chordata; Mammalia; Primates; Cercopithecidae. The record is from RefSeq and is a predicted model, not a curated record.
GGCUGCUAUUUGACUUCGCAGUCUUCUAGCUGCGUGGCGGAAAGACAUCGCCCUGGGCCAGUGGUGGCUCGCGGCGGCGCCCCGCCUUCCCGAGGUUGGCUCCCCAGCCAAAGAGGGGGCGCGCUUUGCGGUGGGUGGGUGGAGCCGCGAGUCUUGGUACCUCGCCAGCGGGCGGAGCGCCGAGGGGGUUUCACUUCGGGCAAAGGGACUGUGGUUGUGACAGCCAGGAAACCGAGAACGGAAUGCCAACACUGCCUGGGCUUAGAGCUUGAAAGGUGAAUUCUAUUUCUGCACUCUUGAAUCCGGGCCGACUGUGACUGCUCUGACAAAUAAAAUACAGUGAAGUCAUCCCUAACCUUUCAGAGGACUGGCAACUUCCACUCCCUGCCUCUUGGAAGUCUGGCACCAUGUAAGAAGAACAACCAUCCUGACUACUCUGCUAUGAGAAAGCAAGUUUUUGGCAACCUUAUUAAAGACAAAUGAUUGCUUACCCAUAUGUGUGGAGUCCUCAUUAGAGAAAAGGAGUUAGGUUGGUGGGACUGAGGGAAAGCAAAAAGAGAAAGCAGAUAAGCUAUAAGCCUGCCUUUCUUCAUGGUCCGGGACACCUAGCCCUUCUGCACAAAUAGCUCACAAUCUUCCUGCACCCAGCUAUCAGAAGAUACCUGCAAGUUAGCUCACUGCAACCCUGGCAUUGUCUGCGCAAAGCCCUCUUCAGCAUACAGCAUAAACACUCGUCUAUAAACUCUCCAGCAAGCCUUUAUUUCCUGACAGUCAGCAAUUCUUCUGCUGAUUCUACCAGUUGCUCCCUGGCAACAUAUUUUUAUACUUUCUCUAAUAAAUCUGCCUUUCUUUAUCUACAA